Molecule: ribosomal RNA, 254 nt
Filed under: uncultured bacterium
Lineage: Bacteria
Also listed under: 1 other name
Description: partial 16S ribosomal RNA
Rfam family: Bacterial small subunit ribosomal RNA
Source: RNAcentral
CACGUAGGCACCAAGCGUUGUCCGGAUUUAUUGGGCGUAAAGAGCUCGUAGGCGGUUCGGUUAGUCGGGUGUGAAAACUUUGGGCUCAACCCAAAGCGUGCACUCGAUACUGCCGUGACUAGAGUUCGGUAGGGGAGUGGGGAAUUCCUAGUGUAGCGGUGAAAUGCGCAGAUAUUAGGAGGAACACCGGUGGCGAAGGCGCCACUCUGGGCCGAAACUGACGCUGAGGAGCGAAAGCGUGGGUAGCAAACAGG